GGGGCUGGCUGGGGUACUGGUGUCCCCCAAGGUCUUCAAAACCUCUCGGGAGGCGCGUGCCGUCUCCGGUGGGUUCGAUUCCCACACAGUCCCGCCA
Molecule: transfer RNA, 97 nt
Filed under: Bacillaceae bacterium
Lineage: Bacteria; Bacillati; Bacillota; Bacilli; Caryophanales; Bacillaceae
Also listed under: 2 other names
Description: tRNA-Sec
Rfam family: Selenocysteine transfer RNA
Source: RNAcentral